GGUUAAGCGAAUAAGCGUACACGGUGGAUGCCUAGGCAAUCAGAGGCGAUGAAGGACGUGCUAAUCUGCGAAAAGCGUCGGUAAGGUGAUAUGAACCGUUACACCCGACGAUAUCCGAAUGGGGAAACCCAGUAUCCAAUGGAUACUAUCAUUAACUGAAUCCAUAGGUUAAUGAGGCGAACCGGGAGAACUGAAACAUCUCAGUACCCCGAGGAAAAGAAAUCAACCGAGAUUCCCCUAGUAGCGGCGAGCGAACGGGGAGCAGCCCAGAGUCUUAAUCAAUA
Molecule: ribosomal RNA, 284 nt
Filed under: Proteus mirabilis
Lineage: Bacteria; Pseudomonadati; Pseudomonadota; Gammaproteobacteria; Enterobacterales; Morganellaceae
Description: partial 23S ribosomal RNA
Rfam family: Bacterial large subunit ribosomal RNA
Source: RNAcentral